AAGUAUAUGCAUAUUUUAUAUGUAGAAACUGCGAACGGCUCAUUAAAACAGUUAUAAUCUACUUGACAUUUUUUCUAUAAGGAUAACUACGGAAAAGCUGUAGCUAAUACUUGCUUUAGCACUCUUGAUUAAGUUCUUGAGUGUGUACUUGUUAAGCCUUUUAAGAAAAAAGUUAUUAACUUAAGGAAUUAUAACAAAGAAGUAACACGUAAUGGAUCCGUCCAUUUUUAGUGUGUAUCAAUCGAGUUUCUGACCUAUCAGCUUUUGAUGUUAGGGUAUUGGCCUAACAUGGCUAUGACGGGUAACGGGGAAUUAGAGUUCGAUUCCGGAGAGGGAGCCUGAGAAAUAGCUACCACAUCUAAGGAAGGCAGCAGGCGCGUAAAUUACCCAAUUCUAAAGAAGAGAGGUAGUGACAAGAAAUAACAAUACAAGGCCAAUCUGGCUUUGUAAUUGGAAUGAUGGGAAUUUAAAACCUUCCCAAAACUCAAUUGGAGGGCAAGUCUGGUGCCAGCAGCCGCGGUAAUUCCAGCUCCAAUAGCGUAUAUUAAAAUUGUUGCAGUUAAAACGCUCGUAGUUGAAUUUCAAAGAAUCGAUAUUUUAAGUAACGCUUUUAGCUUAAUCCACAUAACUGAUACUACGUAUCGACUUUGUGCGCAUUUUGCUAUUAUGUGUUCUUUUAAUUAAAAUGAUUCUUUUUAAGAUCUUUUUUUGUUUCGGCAUUGAAAGGUCUUGUUACUUUGAGUAAAUUAGAGUGUUCAAAGCAAACAGAUAUAGCAUUGCGCGUUUGAAUACUACAGCAUGGAAUAACAAAAUUGAACAAGUCAGAAUUUUGUUCUUUUUUCUUAUUUUGGCUUAGUUACGAUUAAUAGGAGUAGCUUGGGGGCAUUUGUAUUCAGAUGUCAGAGGUGAAAUUCUUAGAUUUUCUGGAGACAAACAACUGCGAAAGCAUUUGCCUAAAAUACUUCCAUUAAUCAAGAACGAAAGUUAAGGGAGUGAAGACGAUCAGAUACCGUCGUAAUCUUAACCAUAAACUAUGCCGACUAGGCUUUGGAUGAAAGAUUUUAAAAUAAGAGUUUUUCUCUUCGGAGUUAAACUCUUAGAUUGCUUCCUUCAGUGCCUUAUGAGAAAUCAAAGUCUUUGGGUUCUGGGGCGAGUAUUCGCGCAAGCGAGAAAGUUAAAAGAAUUGACGGAAGGGCACCACCAGGCGUGGAGCUUGCGGCUUAAUUUGACUCAACACGGGAAAACUCACUAGUUUAAGACAAGAGUAGGAUUGACAGAUUAAUAGCUCUUUCUUGAUUUCUUGGAUGGUGAUGCAUGGCCGUUUUUAGUUCGUGAAUAUGAUUUGUCUGGUUAAUUCCGAUAACGAACGAGAUCUUAACCUGCUAAUUAGCGGCAAAUACGAUAUAUUCUUAUGUGGAAUUGAAUACGGUUGAUUUGCUUAUUUUGAAGAGAAUAUUGGAAUGCGUAAAGUGUUCCUUUCCCUU
RNAcentral lists this ribosomal RNA (1484 nucleotides) under Plasmodium fieldi. RNAcentral's name for it is "SSU rRNA". It matches the Rfam family "Eukaryotic small subunit ribosomal RNA", at positions 61 to 1409 of the family's 1831-position model. Lineage: Eukaryota; Apicomplexa; Aconoidasida; Haemosporida; Plasmodiidae. The record is from RNAcentral.